UAGAAGCACCCGUGGGCUCCUCUCCUCAGUCUGCAGCAAGGGGUUGCCCGCAGGGAGACAUUGAGUCCCAGCACUCGUCCUCUAGGAAUAAGGGCUGGGGGCAGCUCACUGCUGCGCCGGGGAGCAGACACAUGGGAAGGAAGGAAGGAAGGAAGGAAGGAAGUGUUGGGAUGCCUUCUGCACAGCGCUACUAAUUUGUCUUGAAGAAGAGGCUGCUCCGGACAGCCUGGAGAGCAGCCGGGCUGCUUCUGCUGUGUGCAGCAGGGACUGAGGCGGGGCAGCCACCUCCUGCUGACAGCUGCCUGCCGUGCGCAUUUGCCGUGUGCUCACAUGGAACAGAAACAAGGCAUAAAGAACAGAGCUUCCUGAGGAGAAAAAAAAAAAAUAAAGCCCAAAUCCCAAAGCGA
Numida meleagris (helmeted guineafowl) is the source of this 407-nucleotide long non-coding RNA. RefSeq lists it as uncharacterized. The transcript is spliced from 2 exons. NCBI's taxonomy places the organism in Eukaryota, Metazoa, Chordata, Aves, Galliformes, Numididae. The record is from RefSeq and is a predicted model, not a curated record.